UAUUAUAAUCAACUUAUCUUACUAGUAUUUAUUAACUAAUUAAAAGUUAAAAAUUAAUUAAAAUUAGAUUUCUAAAAAAUAUAAUUAAAUGUAGCAAAAAAAAAAAUACAAAAAUUUAAUUUAAGUAAAGAUGACAAUCUUUUACCUUUUGUAUCAGGGUUAAUUAAUAAUAAAAAAGAGUUUAAUGUCUCGAAAUUUACAACCAUAUAAGAAUUUUACAUUGUUACCAUUCAAAAGGUAAAAUAAAUUAAUUUUUAGAUUUUAUAUAAAACCAUGUUUUAAAUAUCUAGUUAUUAAAUAUAAUAAUUUAAUUAGAUAUUGUUUACUAUUAACUUAUUUGAUAACCUAAAUUCCAAAAUUAAACAAUAGAAACCUUUAAAAGUUAAGUAUUAAAGUAAAAUAAAUUUGAAUACUAAAAAUAUCUAAAUAAGAUUGAUAAUCUUUAAUUAAAAAAUAUAUAAAAAUGAAGAAACCUUAAAUUUAUAUUUUAAAUUAAAUUAUCUUGAUAUUUAAUUAAAUCUAAAUAAAAGCAAAUAAAAUAAAAUGAUUAAAUUAAUAUACAAUCUAGAUUUAAAUUAACAAUUAGGCAAUUAAUUAAGUUUCCAUCUGUUUAUCAAAAACAUAGUUUAAAGAAAAAGAUUUUAGAUAAAUUCUGCUCAAUGAGUAAAUUAAAUAGCUGCAGUAAAUUAACUGUACUAAGGUAGCAUAAUAAGUUGCUUUAUAAUUAAAAGCUUGAAUGAAAGAAAUAAUGUGAAACAAGCUUUUUAAACUAAAGUAGUAAAAAUUAAUAUUUAAGUGAAAAAUCUUAAAUAAAAUCAAAAGACAAGAAGACCCUUUAGAACUUUACAAAUUAACUUAAUUUCAUUUGGUUAAUUUGUUAGAUUGGGGAGAUUUUUAAAUAAAUAAAUCUUUAGAUAUAAAAAAAUGAUUUAAAUCAAAUUAAAUUAUCCAAAUAUGAAAUAAAACAAGUUACCUAAGGGAUAACAGCGCAAAAUUUUUGAGAAGUUCUCAUUUACAAAAUAAAUUGCGACCUCGAUGUUGGAUUAAGAACAACUUAUAAAGAAAAAUUUAUAAGAGUUGGUCUGUUCGCCCAAAUAAAUCUUACAUGAUCUGAGUUCAGACCGGCGUGAGCCAGGUCAGUUUAUAUCUUUGAUUAAAUAAUUCUGCACUACAGUACGAAAGGAUCUAGAGAAGUAAAGUUUUUAUAUAGAAA
RNAcentral lists this ribosomal RNA (1213 nucleotides) under Bemisia tabaci. Its description in RNAcentral is "16S ribosomal RNA". The stretch from base 816 to 1153 matches the Rfam family "Archaeal large subunit ribosomal RNA", at positions 2153 to 2718 of the family's 2987-position model. Lineage: Eukaryota; Metazoa; Arthropoda; Insecta; Hemiptera; Aleyrodidae. The record is from RNAcentral.